CUGUCUAUUGUACUCGCGGCAGAAGAAAAUGGACACGCUCACGUCUGUUAUUGGGUCAGUGGACUCGGUGGACGCGCUGGACCUUACAUUGCUCCUCCAUGGGCUCAGCACCUUGGACGAGGUGCGGCAGAUCGUAGAGGUGCUGCUGGAUGCGUACAACAGCCACAGCGGCACGCCCCGGGAGAUGCUUCAGAAGCAGUGCGUAAUGCGCAGCCUUGCGGAGGUGCUAGAGUUCGCGCAUGAGCGUUACACACGCACAGCGGAUGCGUCUGCAUCACCCGUGACUUGUACGUUUUGGCGAAACCAAGCUGACGGGGCAAUGGCCACGACCUUGUCCACGGAUCCGCAGUGGGCCUUUACGCCGGACGACUACCUGCUCUUGUCCAUGUUUCUGAACGAGACGGCGACGACGACGAAUGCGACGACCUUCGCUUACUGGAGCCGGGCUACGGCAGUUGUGUUCCCGCACGCAACAACGAUUGUGUUCCCCUCUGUCGAGGCCAACGGUGUGUCGCCUGAGGCAUCAGGUGCUGGUGAGGACGAGGAGGCGGAGACAACGCGGGCGUCGUUGGAGUCGGAGCUGCACUCCUUGCGCGAGAUUGUGGCCAAGCGCUUCACAACCUCCGUGGACAGUCUGCGUCGCGUCACGUCGUACGAGUACGCGCGCCGGAGCCUGCAGAGCAGUGUCUGGGCUCUGCUUGGGUCAUUGGCUGGCUGCGGCUCGCCGUCGGUCGGGGAGCGUGUUGUAGAAGAGCUGGAGGCUGCUGUGGAAGGCAUGUUGCAGCCUUUGAACAUCGCGCUGCAGGAGCCGCUCGCGGGCUCGCACGGCAGAACCGCGAAUGCCGCCGGUGGCGCCAUCGGGGGUGGCGGUCGGUCUGGUAAGAAGACGUCGCCAAUUCUUCUUACUGCCCUCUUGCAGGACGUCGAAGAUGUGCUGUGGGCGAUUUCGCACAUCGCUGUUUCCGCCUCCUCUUCCAAGACGCGGCCUGUCUCCAGCUCGCUCGAGCAGUUGUGCUCGCGGGCCGCAGCCUGCAUUGUGGAGGUGCUGCUCAAGUUUGCGCAGCAGUACAUAGCGUUGCAACAGCAGCGCCAGAUGGAGUUCAUGGAAAAGGAAGGGGCGGACGGCGACGCCGGCGGUCGUGGCGGUGCGAGAGGUGCCAAGAAGGACGUCUUCCGCGUGUAUCACGUCCAGCGCAGCUUGCAGCGGGUGUUUAGUGUGGGACUGCAGCUGCGUCGCGUCGCUGGCAAGAGCAGCAAUGCGGCGGAGGUGCCCUUGGUGAGCGAGGCGGCUUUUACUGGUCUGCAGGCAGCUGUCUCUGCGUUCGGCGGUGCCGUGCUUGUCAUCAACCCCGUACAUCGCGCCAUGAUGACGGAGGACAUCGACGGGCACGUGGCCGCAGCGGCAGCGGUGGAGGAAGACACGACAAGCUCUUCGGGCUGGGGCGACGACAGCAGAGCUCCAGGCCGUCUUCGCGAGUGCCGUCGGGUUCUGGCCCCGCCUCAUCACCUCAUCACGAGCGGGGGAGCGGCCGGCGGGGGCGAGGGCGACUAUGACUUCUUCAACGAUGAAGAGGGCGACACCCUGCUUGGUCGCCGCGAGGCGUACUUGAAGACGUCCCUCGGCCCGGUCACAGCGUCCGCCUUGGUGGACAUGGUAAUGCUGACGGUGUCGCGCAUGGACUUCCUGAGCGAGGACGCGAUCCAGGAGCUGCAUCGCCGGGGCCUGGAGCAGAUGCAGCUCGCCGCCGCCUACCAGGCUCAGACGGAAGAAUUGGAAAAGUUGCGGCAGAUGGAACGGCAGGGUGUGGAGGCGAUCGCUGCCGGGAAGCUGAUCGAGCACGUGAAAGACAGCGCCGCCUUGCACAUGCGCGGCAUGCAGAUUCUCCGCAAGGUGUCCGCCCGCUCGCGGCUGGAGCGCGCUGCCUUCACCUCCGUUCUCGGAGCGUACCAGCAUGUGCGCGGCGAGGCUGAGGCGCGCAUCCGACUGACACAGGCGCUCAUCUCGCGCUGUCUCGUGCAGCUACCUCCGUCGCUGGCGGACAGUGCCAUGGAUGAGCUUCUCCUGCACCUCCGAAGGGAGCUCACGCGGGCCCAGGCGCAGAAGGAGGCUGCUGCUAGCGGGAAGACGAGCACGGCCACUGCGAACCCGAACGCCGAUGUGGCCUCUCUGUUUCUCGCCAGCUCCUACUAUCAGCUCACGCUGCAGGUGCUCUUCAUGUACUACGCCACACAGGCGCCAAUGCACGAGCGGAGCGCCACCUGGAACAGUACGCUGCUUCUCGGUGGAAGCGCCGCGGUGGCGCACGGCGGGGACGAUGGCACUCUCCUGGACGACGGCGGCCCCCACGGCGGUGGCGAGUUGAUGCAGACGGACGCCGGCUUCUCGGUUGAGGUGGAGAGCCCCAUUGCCUUUCUGUACGACGACGAUGUUCACCGCGCGAGCCAGGACGUCGGUCAGAAGCGGGCUCGUGAGGAGCCCGACGGGGUAGGCGGCGCCGGGGAGGAGGAUGCCGCGGCCGGCGCUCGUGCCACCACUGGCGAGCAGGACUUCGGCUUUCUGAAUGAUACCGUAGCGGCCCCAUCGACGUACAGCCACAUGCUGUGCCGCGUGCUGGAGCUUAUCCGGACGGCACGGCUCAACCUGAUUUUGUUGGAUGUCCUGCUGCAGGCCCCGGUGCUCACCCGGUAUGUGUGGUACCACCUGUACAAGCACUUCUGCCUCUCCGCCGACAAGGCCAGCUGCGUGAUUGGAAUGUGGCUCUUGCGCAACCUGGCUGUACGGCGGCCGGUGUACCGCACAUGCGCCGUGAACAUCCUGCUGCAGCUCUGUCUCAGCACGCACGACUACGCGCGCCGUUUCGCCAUCAAGGAGAUCGAUCAGCUGCUGUCGGCCACCACUGCUCAAGGAGCACCGGUGCUGGACGUAACGGCAGAGGGGCAUCUCCUCCGGUACGCGAAGAAGCAGCUCUUUGCCAUUCCAGCCUAUCAACGCUCCUCAUCCUCGAGGCUGAAGCGCGCCCAUGACGGCGGCGAUACGGCGAACGGGGAUGAGGCGGCGGCCAUCGCCGGCGAUACGGAUGAGGCCACCGCCAAAGACCGUGUGCGCAUGUCCACCGUGCUGAACCGCCGCCUCGGCCUCUUUCUGAUGCUGUGCGCGCGCCAGCCUCGCGAGCUGUUCCCUGCCCUACUCGAAGUCUUUCAGCAGUGCGUCGAGCGCGGAAACAUCCUCAUGAUGCAGCUCCUUCCAGAGAACGCCGACGUGCGUCGCAUGACGCAGCACCUGCUCAAGACGGACGCCUCCAACUUCGUGGCGGCCGUGAUGCCGCUGCUGCGCAAGCGCUGCCGCGAGGCGCGGCCCCUCGUCCAGUCCAUGCUGUGGGCGGUGCGGGAGCAACUCGGCGCCAUGGCACAGGAGGUCAACUCCGCGGCGAGCACCAUGUCCACAUCCGCUGACGGGAUCAAGGCCGCGAGUCAGGCAUCGACGACCGUCACCCUGGAGGCGCUGCGCAACAUCAGCAAUGCCGUGCUGGGCCACGCGAAAGCGAUGUACGAGCUCAGCGGCAUUCCACUGGGUAACUCGACUCAGUCGGCAUCUCUGCUUGACAUUCGCUACCUUGCACCGUUUCUCAGCUUUCUUCCUGCCAAGGAGCUGAAGCAGACCUACCUUAACGUCUUCCUUCUGUUUCUUCAGGUGCAGCUGCAGUUCCAGCGGCACUACCACAAUGCGUUUCACCGGCUGCCGGCGAAGGAGCGGAUGUAUGUGCUGGAGCCGGCAGAGCUGCGGGCUUUUGAGAUUCAGGUGCUGCGAGAGGUGUUCGUCAAGUGCCCUGUCUCCUUCCAAGACGGUGUGCCGCGUGGCCUGACGCGCGUGGACUUCUUUGUGUACCUCCAUCGAGCCCCGCAGGAGAGCCAGUCCAGGCUUGCCUCGUCCAUGCUCUCCCACCCGCUGCAUGGCGGAGCACUAGGCGGCACGACUGGCGGUGUUCUGGACGGCAUGCACAAUGGCGAGCAAACCUCCGCUGGUGCGGUGACCGGGAAGGAGAAGACGGAGGAGCUUCCGCCGAUCAGCGUGGGCACAACGAAGGAGGUGGUGAACCUGUGCUUCGAGCUGACGCGCAGCUUCGACAACACGACCGUGGAGAAGCUGUUCGGCCCGCCAGAGGUGCAGAAAGCGCUGCAGCAGCUCAUGCACCCGCCGCCGAUCCCAUCACAGCUCAUGGCAACUGUGCUGCAGGCGGCCACGCUGUUCCUGCGCAGCCGCUACACAGAAUUCAUCAACUUUGCUGUGCAGACGAUUCUAACGCCGCUAGAGCGAGCCUCCGUGUGGGACACGGACCCGCAGCUGUGGAAGGGCGUCGUGCUCUUCACGGAGCGCUACUACCGCGAGUGCAGCAACUUUCUCGUGAACUUACCUGACCAGGUCUUGACGCAGGCGCUGCGGGAGCACCCACAGCUGUGCGAGUAUUUCAAGGAAGAGCACGGUAACAACGCCUCCUUUAUGCACAUCCUCGGAAACCUGUGAUGGCGCCGGGCUCUGCACCCGGGAAGUGUGUAGGGGUCUGCAUGGAGCGACCUUCGGGCUAUCGAUGAGCAUUGGGGAUGGCGGCCGACGGAGGAAAGGACGUCGUGCAGGCGAGGGUGAUUGAUUGACUAAUGUAAGGGAGCGUGUGCCUGUGUUGAACACAUGCACCGAAGUUGUGCUACUCAGCCUGCGCUGCGCUGGUCGGCGUAGCAGGGUGCACACCUUGGCCAUAAUGAGACGCGGUCUUGGUUUGCAGGAGGCCUGUCAAGCGGCACAAGCAAAGGGCUUUGAUGAGUGUGAUGUGGGCAGCGGCCACUCUCUUUUCCGCGAGAGUGGCGCAGCUCCUUUGGUACGGACCCGCAUGUAGUGGGUGUACGGCUGCAACAG
RNAcentral lists this unclassified non-coding RNA (4909 nucleotides) under Leishmania donovani. RNAcentral describes it as "gene:LdHU3.31.4400(CDS-product:Symplekin_tight_ju nction_protein_C_inal_putative)". Lineage: Eukaryota; Euglenozoa; Kinetoplastea; Trypanosomatida; Trypanosomatidae. The record is from RNAcentral.